UCGUGGAUCUGGCUCCUCCAAGAACUUCUCGCCAGAGCCUGGCGGUAGAACUGGCCCAUCGUUGGUCACGGUCUCCCCAAAGCCAUCAGACUACAGGAUCUGCAAGCCCUUUCAAGCUCAGGAUGCUUCGACUCAAACCGAUAAUGAAGAGAAAAGGAGGAAAGAGGGAUCAAACACCAGGAUUAGGCUUCCAGAAAUUCAGCACAGUGAGAGCCAAAAUGAACAGACGAUGUGUUUGAAUCAAGAGCCUGAGAUCGUUAAAGUAGAGAGUUCACCACCACCACCAACAUUUGCAAGUGUUCCCUCUUCUUCUUGUGGAAAGACGAAUACCCUGGAAUCCUUGAUAAGAGAAGAAGCAAAUAAAAGGAACAACUUAAGGAAUAUGGAGGCCGAGGAUGUCUUCCUCCCGACUGGGCCAAAAUCGAAAGCCACAAAUAUGCUCAUCCACCUGAUUACUUGUGGUUCCAUCUCUGUGAAAGACCGCUACAGCUUCGGAUUUGUGCCAACUUAUAGGCCAAGGUUUGGUGAUAACAAGUUCACCUCACCAAUGUUUGCCAACUCAAUUGUUCCGGAUGGCAUCGACUGCUUGCUAG
Molecule: long non-coding RNA, 593 nt
Filed under: Musa acuminata (dwarf banana)
Lineage: Eukaryota; Viridiplantae; Streptophyta; Magnoliopsida; Zingiberales; Musaceae
Description: long non-coding RNA (MACU_LNC005904)
Source: RNAcentral